Molecule: ribosomal RNA, 448 nt
Filed under: uncultured bacterium
Lineage: Bacteria
Description: partial 16S ribosomal RNA
Rfam family: Bacterial small subunit ribosomal RNA
Source: RNAcentral
AACGAACGCUGGCGGCAGGCCUAACACAUGCAAGUCGAACGCUGUAGCAAUACAGAGUGGCAGACGGGUGAGUAACGCGUGGGAACAUGCCCUUCGGUUCGGAAUAACUCAGGGAAACUUGAGCUAAUACCGGAUACGCCCUUAGGGGGAAAGAUUAUUGCCGAAGGAUUGGCCCGCGUCCGAUUAGCUAGUUGGUGGGGUAAAGGCUCACCAAGGCGACGAUCGGUAGCUGGUCUGAGGGGAUGAUCAGCCACACUGGGACUGAGACACGGCCCAGACUCCUACGGGAGGCAGCAGUGGGGAAUAUUGGACAAUGGGCGCAAGCCUGAUCCAGCCAUGCCGCGUGAGUGAUGAAGGCCCUAGGGUUGUAAAGCUCUUUCGCCAGGGACGAUAAUGACGGUACCUGGAUAAGAAGCCCCGGCUAACUUCGUGCCAGCAGCCGCCGUAA